Molecule: microRNA, 22 nt
Filed under: Monodelphis domestica (gray short-tailed opossum)
Lineage: Eukaryota; Metazoa; Chordata; Mammalia; Didelphimorphia; Didelphidae
Description: mdo-miR-12331-5p
Source: miRBase by way of RNAcentral
AAUCUUCCUUUGUCUACUUUAA